Molecule: long non-coding RNA, 217 nt
Filed under: Homo sapiens (human)
Lineage: Eukaryota; Metazoa; Chordata; Mammalia; Primates; Hominidae
Description: non-protein coding lnc-ZBTB25-5:1
Source: RNAcentral
AGCCUUGCCUAUGUCCUACAUGGCAAGUUCACAGCACCUGUCCUGACUACUCUGUCCCUGUGGUCUGUCUGGUCCCCAGGUCAUGGCUGUCCCUUACCCCAUCUGUUGGGCUGACUUGGCCUUGGUUUUCCAAAUGGGCUUUGUACCCACCUUUAUGUCCUGCAGGGCUGGGGGCAGGAUCUCUGCCAGGUUGUUUCCAGACAUGCUGAUGUUUGCG